GGGAAGAGCGCAGGAGCAUGGGCUGUGUCCCCCGGCGCCCCGGGAUCUGGGACCUGCGCUGCUGGAAUCACGCCCCGGGGCGCAGCUCCC
Canis lupus familiaris (dog) is the source of this 90-nucleotide non-coding RNA. NCBI's taxonomy places the organism in Eukaryota, Metazoa, Chordata, Mammalia, Carnivora, Canidae. The record is from Rfam.